UGGUGGAGUGAUUUGUCUGGUUAAUUCCGAUAACGAACGAGACCCCGUCCUACUUACUAGACUUGAGAUGAUUUUCAUCUCUUGAAUUUUCUUUAGAGGGACAACUGGCGUAAAUCUAGCUACAUGAAAUGGGGCGAAUAACA
This 143-nucleotide ribosomal RNA is filed under the name uncultured eukaryote. Its description in RNAcentral is "partial 18S ribosomal RNA". It matches the Rfam family "Eukaryotic small subunit ribosomal RNA", at positions 1299 to 1458 of the family's 1831-position model. The record is from RNAcentral.